Molecule: long non-coding RNA, 44552 nt
Filed under: Daucus carota (carrot)
Lineage: Eukaryota; Viridiplantae; Streptophyta; Magnoliopsida; Apiales; Apiaceae
Description: long non-coding RNA (DCAR_LNC000477)
Source: RNAcentral
AGGGAGUAUACACAUUACAUAACUCCCAGAAUUAAAAUUUAAAUGUUUAUAUCUUCAUUGUACUAAGCGACAAUUAAAUUCUAGGUCAAAUAAGACUCCGAACCACAGAUUGAGGAUUUAUUCAUUCUCUAUCUAAAGUAAUUUUUAAUAAAUUAAAAGAUACAUCAACUAGUCACAAAUCAAAAUUUCAGCAAACACAGAUCAACAAACAAACGUUACUUCCUUAAAAGAAAGGUAGUACAUACAAACGAUAACGAAAUCGACAAGAACAAUUCAUCACCGCCAAAUGAGAACUUAAUUAUACACGAGAAUGUUAAGAUUUACAUACCAGCAAUCCUCUUCACGAAUUCGGCAAACCAAAUAACGUAAUUUGCCACUAUUAGCUUCACUUCUUUCCAUUCUCUUGAAGCAAAGUUCUUAAAAACUUAAAAGGAGAUAAAAAGAAAGUGGUUCGAGGAAUGGAGAUUGAUUUUCCUUACCACCGUACAAUAACUCUAAAGUUUGCGACUUUAAAGUUUGUUGAAACACAAAAGUAUAUAAAGAGUGAGAUGGAUGAGUCUGGGGUGACGUCAGCGUGUUGACGUAGCUUAAAGAAAAUAGAAUAGUAAAAGCAGGAUUAUGUUUGUGAAUACCGGGGGUGGGCUUCAUAUAUACAAAUUUAUCCUUGGGAAAUUGUAGUUGGGCAUAAAAAAAUGUUAUUUCAAAGUUGUAGCUCAUAUAUGAAGUAAAAUAAAGUAAUUAAAAUAUACUCACUCCAUCCCAUAAAGUAUGAGCUAAUCAAUUUUACGCACAUUUCAGAAAUUUGAGUAUGACUAUCCGAUAUGUAUUUGCAUUCACAAAAAGAUGAGUUAGUGGAUGAUGACUAAGCAUUUACUUGAAUAUGUGGUUAUAGCUGCUUAGUCAUUAUCCACUAACUCAUCUUUUUGUGAAUGCAAAUACAUAUCAAUAGUCAUACUCAAAUUUCUUAAAUGUGCGUAAAAUUGAUUAGUUCAUGCUUUAUGGGAUGGAGUUAGUAUAUUUUGAUUAGUUUAUUUUACUUCAUAUAUGAGCUACAACUUUAAAAUAACAUUUUUAUGCCCAAUUACAAUUUCCUAAGGAUAAAUUUGUAUAUAUGAAGCCCACCCCAGUAUUCACAAACAUACUCCUACUUUUACUAUUCUAUUUUCUUUAACCUCCGUCAACACGUUGACGUUACCCCAGAAUCAUCCAUCUCACUCUUUAUAUACUUUUGUGUUCCAACAAACUUUAAAGUCGCAAACUUUAGAGUUAUUAUACGCUGGUAAGGAAAAUCAAUCUCCAUUCUUCAAACCACUUUCUUUUUAUAUCCUUUUAAUUUUAAGAACUUUACUCUUAGAGAGUGGAAAGAAGUGGAACCGAAUGUGGCAAAUUCCCUCUGAAUUACGUUAUUUGGUUUGCCGAAUUUGUGAAGAGGAUUGUUGGUAUGUAAAUCUUCCAAUUUUCAUGUAUAUUAAGUUAUUCUCAUGAAGUGGUGAUGAACUCUUCUUGUCGAUUUCGUUAUGAUUUAGCAUGUAUUACUUUUUCUUUUCCGAAGUAAUUUUAUCUUUGCUUGUUCAUCUGUGUUUAAUGAAAUUUUAAUUUGUGACUAGUUGAUUUGUCUUUUGAUUUAUCGAAAAUUACUUUAAAUAGAAAAUGAAUAAAUCCACAAUCUGUGGUUUGGAGUCUUAUUUGGCCUAAAGUUUAAUUGUCGUUUAGUACAAUGAAGAUAUAAAGAUUUAAAUUUUAAUUAUGGGAGUCAUGUAAUGUAUUUAAAUUGUGCUGAUGGGAUUAGAGUCUUAAGAUUUGCAAGGAGUUGAGGAAGUUCAUGUGAUUCCUAUGUAGUUGUUGUGGAUAUCUUAGUAAACGACAAUGAAGAUAUAAAGAUUUAAAUUUUAAUUAUGGGAGUCAUGUAAUGUAUUUAAAUUGUGCUGAUGGGAUUAGAGUCUUACGAUUUGCAAGGAGUUAAGGAAGUUGAUGUGAUUCCUAUGUAGUUGUUGUAGAUAUCUUAGUUUCUUUGAUUAUACUCUUUAAUAUUGGGGAAAAAAGCAGUUCAAAUAUUGGCAUUGAGGCAUAAAUAGAAAAAAAAUGAGUUUAAUCCAAACUAUAGUGAGUAUAAUCAUCUUCUGAUUAUAUGAUUUGUAAAUCACCAGUUAUGAUUACUACUCGGUAUAUUUUGGAUUUACUCAUAUUUUCUUCUAUACAUGCCCACGAACUACUUUAUUUCCUGUAUUACGGAGCACAAACAAAGAAAGUAAAAUAUCCACAAAAGCCACAUAGGAAUCGCAUCAAGUUCCUCAACUCUUUGCAAAUCUUAUAACUCUAACCCCAAUAGCACUUUAAAUAAAUUACAUGACUCCCGGAUUUAAAAGUUGAAUGUUUAUAUCUUCAUUUGUACUAAGCGAAAAUUAAAUUCUAGGUCAAAUAAGAUUCCGACACUGUAGGUCGGGGAUUUAAACAUUCCCUAUCUACACUCAUUUUUAGUAAAUCAAAUUACAAACCAACUAGUUCCGAAUUAUAAUAUCAUCAAACACAAAUGAACAAGCAAACAUAAAAUUACUUUGCAAAAACAACAGGUAGCUCAUACCAAACCAUAACGAAAUCGACAGGAACAGUUCAGCACCACCAAAUCAGAACUUAAUAUACAUGAGAAUUUGAAGAUUACAUACCAGCAAUCCUCUUCACGUAUUGGGAAUACCAAAUAACGUAAUUCACAUCAGGGAAUUCUCCAAUAUUUGCUUCACUGCUUUCCAUUCUCUUAAAUCAAAGUUCCUAAAGACUUCAAAUUAAAAAGAGAUAAAAAGAAAGUGGUUUACGACUUUAAAGUUUGUUGGAACACAAAAGUAUAUAAAAAGUAUAUGUGUUCUAAAGCAAGAACUUAGAGAAUUUCAGACAAUUAUACAAAAGUUCUGCUUUUCUUGCUGAGGCUUCAACUUUGUUUACAUAGUAAUUAUGUAAGUGAAUAUAUAAUUUUCUCCAUCCAUUACCUAGUACCUACUCUCCAUGAGUUUCUGUAAAUGCUUUGCCGAUUCACAUCUGGGGUUUACAAUUACGAGCCCAGAGUAUCUCCCGUACAUUUCAAUCAACGCCGUAUGAACAAACAAAUCAGACCCAAAACCUCUAAUCAUCAGUAUCUAAAGUAUCUGGUUGGGGACUUGUGUCAAACAGGUGGCGGGCAUACGAGACCUCAUCAGUGACCCGUGAAAACAUUUUACUAGCUAUGUUAGGGUAACAUCUAAAGUGGUUUUGAGGAUAAGCAGAGAUUUGGAGAAGAUGAUUGCGGGAGAUGAGUGUUCUCAGGGUUGAAUGUAUCGGCGUUCCUCACGAAGAUCCCGUUUAAUAUUUGAAACAUAUUUUCAGUAUUUGGGGAUAACAUUCUUGAUUUUUUUUAAAUCAAUGACAUAUUGAAAAAAUUCUCAUGAAUUGAGGUGUAUUUUAUUCGAAUUUUAAUAGUCUGAUUUUAAAAGAUUGUAUGUAAUUUUAAAUUACGCGAAUUUUUGAAAAAAUGUUGCAGAAUUGAUAUAGAUUAUUUAAAAUUUAAGUACAAUAUUUCAAAAUCUCAUGGAUUUUGGUGGGAUUUCAAAAAAAUUAAAAUUCACUCAAAAAUCUCGCAAAAUCCAUCAUUUUAUGAAAUCCAUAAAAAUCCAAUAGUAUUUGUAUAUCAUUUGAAUUUUAAACAAUCCAAAUUAAAUGAAAAAAAGCCCUAAAUAACUGAAUUUUUGAGUUUAAUGCCCCGUAGAACAAAAUUUGAAAAAGUGGCCCCAGUUGACAUGUGAAAACACUUAAAAUUGCCCGCAAGGGUUGGUUCAGCUGGUUAAAGAGGGGACAAGUAUCCUCUUGAUCACUGGUUCGACUCCCGAAGGGAGCACGUAGUUUGCAGGCUAUUGCGUGGGUUUACCCAGUGCGCACCCCCGAAGUGUAGCGGCUGUGGGUUCCUACGUUAAAGUUUGCAGGCUCGCAUAGGUUUACGGGUUUUCUCUUUUCUUCUUUUAUUAAACCUUUUCAAACUUCACAGUUUACAUAAGUAAAGUUAACAUUGAGUACACUGAGUAGACGAAGUACAGAGAAAACAGGUUGCGGGUUGCGGGUUGGGUCAAGCUAAUAUAAAGAAAAAUCAAUUGAGAUGAUGGAUUAUAAUGUAAGUUUUACAUUCUUUUGAAGAAUUGCAAUUCAAUUUAUAUAUAUUUUCAAUGUAUAUGUUCUAUGUGUUUGUUAAAGUGUCUAUGAUGAUUUACAUAUGAAGCAGUGGUUAGAAAUAGCUAGUAUUAUUUCUAAUUGAGUUGUAGUCACAUAUUACCAGUUAAGUUCGAGUUAUGUAAUGCAUAUUUGGAGCUUAAUUUUAGAAUUUGAAGCUUAUCUAUUACUUUACUAUGAGAAAUCUGCUUAGGUUAUCCAUGUGUAUGAAGAAUACGUAAGUUUAGGACCAAUAUAAUUGGAAAUGGCACUAGUUUAGGAGCAUCUUCUACCUGAUCAACCCUACAGAGCCCACAUAUCAGAGAAUUGAAAGUGAACAUAUCUGGUUUACAUCCUCCGUUUACCAUGUCAGCGUAUAGUUCCAGAGCCUCCUUAACCUUCUCAUCCUUAGCUAAAGCAUUUAUCAGGCAGUUGUAUCCAACAGUGUUUAAGCGGAUCCCCAAUGCUGACAUUUCACGGACAGCUUCUUCUGCUUCCUUCAAUCUGCCGACCUUGCAGAACCCGUUGAUCAAACUCGUGUAUGUUAUUAGGUUGGGCUUGCAACCCAUAAUUUCCAUCUCUUUCAUCAAAUUUCGUGCUAAAGAAAAAGAUUUUCUCGAACAUAGACCACGGAUGAUUAUGUUAUAUGUAUAGAUAUCUGGAUUGCAACCAACAGCGGGCAUCCCCUGCCUCAAAACAGCAUUGGCAUCAUCAAACUGUCCAUUGGCCACAUAACCAUUAAUCAAAGUAUUGAACAAAACAACAUUAGGCUCGGGCACUCUCUCCAGAAUAGCUCUAGCUUUAUCAACUUGACCAGUUCGGCAUAAUCCAUCCAUUAAAAUUCCUUAAGUAAACUUGCUAGGAGUGAAGCCUCAGAGAAGCAUUCUAUCGACCAAUUUAGCACCUUCAGGUAUCCUCUUAGCACGGCAAAGACCAUGAAUAACAUCAUUAAAAGUAUCAACAUCAGGUGUGCAACCCAUCAGAAACAUUUCCUCCAAAUAUCUUAUCACGUCAUUUAUUCUGUUCACCUUACAAAGCGCAUGUAUAAGUGUCUGGUAAAUAACUGAAUUCGGCACACACCCAUGUUCUGUCAUAUCUCUUAAAAGUGAACAUGCAGAAUCCACCUCAUUAACCAUACAAAGCACUUUCAUCACCACACCGAACGUUAAAACAGUUGGAGAAAUCCCCUUGUGCAACAUCUCAUAAAAAAUAUUCGGUGCAACAGCCGGGCAAUCCCCAGCAACCAAUAUAUCCAGAACAACAUUAUAAGACCUAAAACUAGGUUCGCAACUAAAAACAUCCCUCAUAUCAAAAAGUAACCGCGUCGAUUGACCAGGUAAACCAGCUCUACCAUAAUGCCUCAUCAUAGAAAUAAAAAGUGACUCCUGAAAAACUACCCCUUCAUCUUUCAUCCGCAGCAACAAUCCAUCAAUCAACUUAAACUCCCCGGCCGCUCCAAGUUUAUUAAUCAAAGUACAAUACACAUCAAAUGUAUGAGUAUACCCCAUUUGAGUACCCGCCUUACGGAACAAAUCCACAGAAGUAGGGACAUCAAGGGGGAGUUGAAGCAACUUAUUAAGCUGAUACGGUGCAAGUCGAUUAAGGGACUUUCGAAGCUGUUCAAUGUCAAAUGGUUCAAGCAAACUUUCCCAAUCUGUUUCAGGGGAUGACCCAUUCUUAUAAUCAGAAUUACCAACAACAUUUCCAUCAUCCCCAAUUGAACUACAAUAUGUAAAGAUUGGAUUUUUAUACAAAGAUUGAACCUUUUUGACAAAAUGACACCCAAGAUUCAAUCUUUUGAGCAUAACUCUUAUUGGGUAAUUGUAAACAAGCAAAAGCUAAGCACACAACUGAUUGGCAUUACACAUACAUAAACUUUUCAGGGUUAUAAGCAAUUGUGUGUAUACAUGUAUGUAUAUGUGCAUAUAGAGUUGAAAAAUAUAUGAGAAACAGAGCAGAAUAAAGAGCUCUAACCUGGGAAAAAUAUCUUGCAUAUAGUGUUUGUAUUUGCUGCAAAAAGCUUCUGCACUAAUUAUUCAGUGAGCAGCGGAUCGGGUCUAAAGUCAAAUUUUCAAAUCAAUUGGGUGUUUGUAUGUGCAUAUAAUUCAGCACACAAUAAAGCUGAUCAUGGCUUAUGGACCAGAAAGCUGCUUCUUCAGCUUUUUCAAAGAAAUUUUCUUUCAACAUUGCUACACACUAUGGUUUCAGCCGCAUUGCUUGUUAAUCAAUCUCGUCGAAUUGAUCUAUAUCAUCUACCCAUAAAGUUUCAUCAUCUAAUUGAAGCGCCCACAAGUUUCCUCAUUUCUUUCUAUCUAUAUUCCCAUGUUAUAACUAGUACAUUAGCAAAGGCGUUCUUUUCUAAUAUCUCGGAUAUUCAUAUAAAAGAGUACACAUGUAAAACAAAAAUACUAAACAAACUCAUGAACUAAAUAUUAAUGACCACAAAUAAUAAUCACACAAAAUACAAAUAAAAAAGCGGAAACCAAAGAAAUAUUCAGAAGAGAUGAUUCAAAACUUUCUAACAAUUACAAAACUAAUCUUUAAAAUUUGUGAGUCAUAAAGCCUGGAUGAUGACCUUGUGACAGAGAUAGCUAACCAUGCCUCUCAUCAUUCAUCUCAAUGACAAUGUUAUGCAAGAUGCGGCAAGCUGUGCUAAUACUUUGACGCUUCUCAGCUUUCAUUACAAGUGUAAGAACCUUCCAUUCUUCCUUUAGCCGCCUAUCCAUUGUCUCAGCAGUCAUUCUUUCCUCAGUAGCAGUGGCUGUCCCAUGGAGGUGGCGAAGGCCAUUUUCUACCAAGGCCUCCACAAAGGACCUUGUAACCUUAUCAGCAGUAAAAGAGUGCGUACCAAUUUCCUUACUGAUUGAGUUCAGUGACUUGCCAAAUUUUAGCCUUCUCAACGCUAUGGCUACUUUAUCAACCACGGUCAAUUCUCUAUUAUCGUUAAAUUUGUAUGUGUGUGACUUGGACAUUGGCUCCAUCACAAGAGAGCACAAGUAUCUGAAGGUUCUCAUUGAGAUCCCGCAGUACUCUUCGACUCUAGUCGAGUCUUCCAAGAGAGGAAAAUGUCCUGCAAAGAAGAGAAGAAAAUGCAUUUUUAUAAAUACGACUAAGACACUGCCAUAAUGUGUUUAUCAUGCUGAAAACUUGAACAUAUUAGAUUAAUGCAUAACACCAUACUAGUCCAUUCAUUUCAGUAUACAUACACAUAUCGACCUGUAAACUGUAUAAACAAAAUGAAGCUAGAAUGUCAAAAAUGAAGAUCAGUAAACUGCUGGUGAUUAACACACAGGGAUAUAUCACAUUCAGUAAGGUUCCAAUCUGAAAAGAAUGCUACAGCUUUCAUAUCAAAUCUGAAUCAAUAUGAACUGAUUAUAGGUGGAUACUUUCAGUAUUCAUAGCUAGUUACAAGCUCCUAGGAAAACAAACCCUUACAAGAACUAAGUACAUAACAACAUAUUCGAAAACAACAGAUUACAUAUUGUUCCAAAGACUAAGACAACUGGAAGCAGUUUGACCUUAAUUACUAGUUUGACCUUGUGGAACUGGAAAUAGAAAUAUUUUGAAUGUACUUACCUAAAAUCAAUCCCUUGCUACUUUGGAAAAAAAAGCUAGUCCUGAAUUCACUGGUGAUUUAUAAUUCACAUAACCAGAAGAUGAUUAUACUCAGUAUAAUUUCGAUUUACCUCAUAUUUUCUUCUAUGUAUGCCCCAAUGCCAAAAUCUGAAUUGCUUUCUUUCCCAUAUUACAGAGUAUAAACAAAGAAACUGAAAUAUCCACAAGAACUACAUACGAAUCACAUCAACUUCCUCAACUCCUUGCAAAUCUAAGGACUCUAAUCCCAUCAAAAAAAUUUAUAUGCACAUUACAUAACUCCCAGAAUUAAAAGUUAAAUGUUUAUCAUCUUCAUUGUACUAAGCGACAAUUAAAUUCUAGGUCAAAUAAGACUCCGAACCACAGAUUGAGGAUUUAUUCCUUCUCUAUCUAAAGUAAUUUUCAAUAAAUCAAAAGAAAAAUCAACUAGUCACAAAUUAAAAUUUCAUCAAACACAGAUGAACAAGCAAACAUAAAAUUACUUCAGAAAAAAAAAGGGUAGCACAUACCAAACUAUAAUGAAAUCGACAAGAACAGUUCAUCACCACUGAAUGAGAACAACUUAAAAUCCAUGAAAUUUUAAAGAUUUACAUACCAGCAAUCCUCUUCACGAAUUCGGCAAACCAAAUAACGUAAUUCAAAGGAAAUUUGCCACAAUUAGCUUCAUUUCUUUCCAUUCUCUUGAAGCAAAGUUCUUAAAAACUUAAAAUUAAAGGAGAUAUAAAGAAAGUGGUUUGAGAUGGAGAUUGAUUUUCCUUACCACCGUACAAUAACUCUAAAGUUUGUUGGAACACAAAAGUUUAUAAAGAGUGAGAUGGAUGGGUCUUGGGUGAAGUCAGCGUGUUGAUGGAGGUUAAAAGAAAUAGAAUAGUAAGAGUAGGAGUAUGUUUGUGAAUACUGGAGGUGGGCUUCAUAUAUACAAAUUUAUCCUUAGAAAAUUGUAAUUGGGCAUAAUAUAAAUUUUAUUUCAAAGCUGUAGCUCAUAUAUAAAGUAAAAUAAAGUAACUAAAAUAUACUCACUCCAUCCCAUAAAGCAUGAGCUAAUCAAUUUUACGCGCAUUUAAGAAAUUUGAGUAUGAUUAUUUGAUAUGUAUUUGCAUUCACAAAAAGAUGAGUUAGUGGAUGAUGACUAAGCAUUUACUUGAACAUGUGGUUACAGCUAUCUUAAAACAUACUAUAUAAAGUGGUGUCACGGAAAAAAUUUUCAACAUCCCACGUCACUAAGUUAUAUCAAUGCCUUUAUCAGCACAAACUUACAACUAAUAUUGUAUCGGAAUUGAUAACUCUUUUGUAUCAACUUAUAGUUGGUUGUUGAUUGACGUAGUAUGUUUGGCUUGGACUGUAACAAAUUUUGUCUGAGGUCGACCCUGCCAAAAGUGCCUUAAAAGGAUUUCUUCAGUUUUUGGGCUCGACGAGGACGUUAAACUUAUAUAAUGUGGAAAAACUGUAACAUUUCAUAGUAUGUAAGUGUGGACGCAUUUAUAAAUGUUGUAGAAAAGUCGUUAGCUCUUUUGGUUUGGUCUAUGGUGAGUUGUUGAACCAUCUCCUUCACUUUGGCUUGGGGUGUUACACAUUGAAUGCAGUAUAGAAUUUUGUUAUAAUUAUAAGUAUGUAUUUCUUUAUAUAUAUUCAAGUUGAUUGAAAAAUUAUUUAAAUUAAAUGGUACGAUGUAUAAAUCUUCAUAAGCUAUAACUUUAAUAUAAUAGACCUACUUGACUACGUCGAGACAUAUAAAAUUAUGACAAAAAUCCAAUUUAUUAUAAGAUAUGAUUAUAAUAAUAACCUCAAAUACAUAGAUCUGCCAAUUUGGUAUACAACAGAAAACAAAUGACACGAAAAAUAUGGAUAUCGAUUCACCAUUUUGUUAUACGAAUACGAAAGUAUACGAUCGUAAAACGUGUUCAGGUCAGAACUCUCAGGUGCAUUGCCUAAAGCAUAUAAUGCACCUGAGAGUUUUGACCCGAACACGUCAAAAUAUAAAGGGAUAUUUCUAAUGGUCCAUUUUAUGAUCGGGUACUUUCGUAUUCGUAUAUCGAAAUGGUAAUCGUUUUCCUUAUUUUUCGUGUCAAUUUUUCUUUUGUGUCGCAUACCAAAUUAAUGGCUUUAUCUAUUUUAGGUUUUUAUUAAAUUAUGUCUUCUAAUAAAUUAGAUUUUUUCUCAUAAAUUUAUAUGUAUAUUGUAUAGUCAGAUAGGUCUAUUAUAUUAAUGUAGUAGCUUACGAAGGUCAAUACAUUUAAUUAGUUAACUUAAAUAAUUUUUCACUCAACUUGAAGAGAUACAUAUAUAUGUGUGUGUGUGUGUAUCUUUGUGUGUGUGCUUAAUUAUAAUAAAAUUAUAUAAUUAUAUAAUAUAUCAAUUGUAUAACACCCUAAUCCUACGAGAAGCAAAUGGUUCAACAACUCACCACAGAGCAAUCCAAAAAAGCUAGCGACUUUGCUAAAACGUUUAUAAAGGCGUCCAAACUUACCACAGUAGGAUGUUACAGUUUUUCCACACAAUUAGUUUGACGUCCUCGUGGGGCCCAAAAGCUGAAGAAAUUUUGUGAAGCACUUUUGGCAGGGUCGAGCUCUGACAAAAUUCAUUACAGUCCAAUCCUAAUAUACUACAUCAUUCAACAACCCACUAUAAGUUGAUCCAAAAGAGGUAUCAAUCCCGAUGCAGUAUUAGUUAUAAGUUGUGCUCAUAAAGGCAUUGAUAUAACAUACCUAACUUAGUCAGGUGGCAGUAGCAAACUUUCUCCGUGACACUACGGGAAAGAAAGUAGUUCAGAUUUUGGCAUUGAGGCAUACAUAAAAGAAAAUAUGAGGCAAAUCCAAAUAACAACAGAAAGUCACCCUAGACCCAUCCAUCUCACUCUUUAUAAACUUUUGUGUUCCAACAAACUUUAAAGUCGCAAACUUUAGAGUUAUUGUACGGUGGUAAGGAAAAUCAAUCUCCAUUCCUCAAAGCACUUUCUUUUUAUAUCCUUUUAAUUUUAAGUUUUUAAGAAAUUUACUUUAAGAGAGUGGAAAGAAGUGAAGCUAAUUGUGGCAAAUUCCCUCCGAAUUACGUUAUUUGGUUUGCCGAAUUCGUGAAGAGGAUUGUUGGUAUGUAUAUCUUCAUGUAUAUUAAGUUCUCAUUAAGUGGUGACUGUUCUUGUCGAUUUCGUUAUGGUUUGGUAUGUAUUACCUUUUCUUUUCCGAAGUAAUUUUAUCUUUGCUUGUUUAUCUGUGUUUAAUGAAAUUUUAAUUUGUGACUAGUUGAUUUGUGUUUUAAUUUACUGAAAAUUACUUUAGAUAGAGAAUGAAUAAAUCCUCAAUCCGUGGUUCGGAGGCUUAUUUGGCCUAAAAUUUAAUUGUCGCUUAGCACAAUGAAGAUAUAAACAUUUUAAUUUUAAUUAUGGGAGUCAUGUAAUGUAUUUAAAUUGUGCUAAUGUGAUUAGAGUCCUAAGAUUUGCAAGGAGUUGAGGAAGUUGAUGUGAUUCCUAUGUGGUUCCUAUGUAGUUGUUGAUUACUACUCGGUAUAUUUUGGAUUUACCUCAUAUUUUCUUCUAUGUAUGCCCAAUAACUACUUUAUUUCCCGUAUUACGGAGCACAAACAAAGAAACUAAAAUAUCCACAAAAGCCACAUAGGAAUCGCAUCAAGUUCCUCAACUCUUUGCAAAUCUCAUAACUGUAAUCCCAAUAGCACUGUUUAAAUAGAUUACAUGACUCCCGGAUUUAAAAGUUGAAUGUUUAUAUCUUCAUUUGUACGAGGCGAAAAUUAAAUUAUGGGUCAAAUAAGAUUCUGACACUAUAGAUUGGGGAUUUAAUCAUUCCCUAUCUACACUCAUUUUUAGUAAAUCAAAAUACAAACCAACCAGUCCCGAAUUAUAAUUUCAUCAAACACAGAUGAACAAGCAUACAUAAAAUUACUUUGCAAAAACAACAGGUAGCACAUACCAAAACAUAACGAAAUCGACAGGAACAGUUGAGCACCACCAAAUCAGAACUUUAUAUACAUGAGAAUUUAAAGAUUAACAUACCAGAAAUCCUCUUCACGAAUUCAGCAAACCAAAUAACGUAAUUCACAUCAGGGAAUUCUCCAAUAUUUGCUUCACUGCUUUCCAUUCUCUUAAAUCAAAGUUUUUAAAAACUUCAAAUUAGAAAGAGAUAAAAAAAAAAAGUGGUUCGAGGAAUGAAGAUUGUUUUUCCUUACCACCGGAGAAUAACUCUAAAGUUUGCGACUUUAAAGUUUGUUGGAACACAAAGGUAUAUAAAAAGUAUAUGUGUUCUAAAGCAAGAACUUAGAGAAUUUCAGACAAUGAUACAAAAGUUCUGCUUUUCUUGCUGAGGCUUCAACAUUGUUUACAUAGUAAUUACACAAGUGAAUAUAUACAUUUCUCCAUCCAUUACCUAGUACCUACUCUCCCUGAGUUUCUGUAAAUGCUUUGCCGAUUCACAUCUGGGGUUUACAAUUACAAGUCCAGAGUAUCUCCCAUUUUCAAUCAACGCCGUCUGAACAAACAAAUCAGACCCAAAACCUCUAAUCAUCAGUAUCUAAAGUAUCUGGUUGGGGACUUGUGUCAAACAGGUGGCGCGCAUACGAGACCUCAUCGGUGACCCGUGAAAACAUCUUACGUAAUAGCUAGGUUAGGGCAACAACGUUGAUAUCUAAAGCGGUUUUGGAGAUAAGCAGGGAUUUGGAGAAGAUGAUUGAGGUUAGAUGAGUGUUCUCAGGGUUGAAACCCUGUAUCGGCGUUCUUCACAAAGAUCCUGUUUAAUAUUUGAAACAUAUUUGGGGAUAACAUUCUGAUUAUUUUUUUUAAAUCAAUGUUCUAUUGAAAAAAAAUCCUCAUAAAUUGAGGUGUAUUUUAUUCAAAUUUUAAUAGACUGAUUUUCAUCUAUACAUUUUAAUGUAUUGUAUGUAAUUUUGUUUGACGCAAAUUUUGAAAAAAUGUCGUAGAAUUGGUACAAAUUCUUUAAUAUUUAAGUAUAAUACUUCAAAAUCUCAUGAAUUUUGAUGGAAUUUCAAAAAAUUUAAAAUUCAAUGAAAAAUCUCAUAAAAUCCAUCAUUUUAUGAAAUCCAUAAAAAUCCAAUACCAUUUAUAUAUCAUAUGAAUUUUAAACAAUUCAGAUUAAAUAUCAUUGGAUUUUUUAGUAUAAUUUAAAAUUCUAAUUGAAUAUUAUCAGAUUUUAUAGCAUAAUUUAAAAUCACAAUCGAAUAUUCAAAAUUUUUUAAUGAAUUUUAAACAAUCGCAAUUGAAUAUACGCAGAUUUCAUGAAUGAAAAAAAAAUAUAUUUUUUAAAAUUCCAAUCGAAUACACCCCCUAAGUAAUCUCGAAUUUAUAAAUCAAUGGAUAAGUUGUGAUUCAUGAUUUUUAUAAUCAUGGCUCCAAUAUUUUUAUUCACACUUUUUUAUAUUCUUUAUCUUAAUCGAGUAAUAACAAAAAUCUAAAAGAUUAUCGGGCUUGUUUUAUAAUUUCCCAACCUCUUAAAUUUUUUUAUAAAAAUAUUGUUGCAAACUUUCAAUAUUUUAAAAAUACCAUUUAUUUAUUGUUUUGAUACAAAAAAUAUCAUUUAUUAUAAAUUAUUUAUAAAAAUACGACUUGCAACUUCUGCAGCCUCAUUUGCAACAACAUUUUGCGACAGUUGCAAAUGAGAAAUUGAUUUACAACUUGCUUAACAAAUACGACUUGCAAAUUCUGCAAUCUCGUUUUUCAACACCAUUUGCAACAUUUGCAAAUGAGAAAUUUCAUUUGCAACUUAUGCAACGUCAUUUGCAACAGUUGCAAACUGAUGUUGCAAAAGCGGGUUGCAAGUGGUACUUUUAUAAAUAACUAGUUAAGAAACCGCGCGUUGCGGUGGCCUAUAAAAAAUAUAUUAAUGAUUCAAUAUUAAUAUUUGUAAAAUGCUAAUACUAAUAUAUAAAAUUGUAAAAUUGGACUAUAAUUCAUGGUAAAAAAAUGAAAAUAAAUUUCUACACGUAAUUAACAAUUUAAAGCACGACGAAUCUUAAUUUAUUUGUGUUUUUUUUAAAAAGUAAUCAUGUUCUUACAUUGUCACCUUCCUCCAAUUUUUUUCCGAUUGAUUGUGCACAAAAACAUGUAACUUAAAUCCGUGAGAUAACAGUCUAUAACUACCCUUACUUGUAACAAUAAUACUGUAUGAACAGUUUUCACUUAAAAGUUGCUUGAACGGAGAAAACAGAUAAUGAUGAAUAAUAUUUUUCCUUGUACAAUGUAAAUCAUAUAAAAAAUUAACAACAACAAACAUGUCCGAUGAACAAAAUCAAAUAUUAAAAAAAAAUAACCAAAAACCAUACAUCACUAAUAGUUAAUUUAUUGAUAUCAUCCAUCAAUAUCAUGUCAAGACUAUAUUUUUCUCCCGUGUUUGGAUUUGUCGACUCCCACAUAACGGUCUAUAACUAAUUUUGCUUGAAACAACCUUUAUUUUUUUAAUACCGUAUAAACAGCAUUCACUUAUCAUUGUAGAAGAACGGCACCACCGAUUUAGAAAUCGAGCAAGAAAAUUAUCACCAGAGAGAGGUAGGGUUGUGGUAUUGAGAGAGAAUGUUGUGUUUAGAUGAUCCAAAACCCUACAACCUAUAAUUAUAAGUGCAGAAAGACUUGUGUGUGUUACUCUUUUCCAUAAUUAAAUAAUCCGAAACAAAAUCAGAUUAAAACUUUCAAGCUGCUAUAUUCCAUAAAUAAUCUGAAACAAAAUCAAAUUCUGAAACUUGCGAAAAUUCCAGAAAAUUAGAAAAAUAGAACAGAGCGAUGUGAGAGGCGCCACCUACACGCCCCUCGCUUCUCCUUUAUAUAGAAACAAAAUCAAAUUAAAACUUUCAAGCUACUAUGUUCCAUAAAUAAUCUGAAACAAAAUCAGAUCCUGAAACUUGCUUCUAAUAUAUCCGAAACUAAAAAAGGUAGUUCUAAUUUUUGAUAUUUUUUAUCCAAAAAUUUCAGUUAUAUAGAAACAAAAUCAGAUUAAAACUUUCAAGCUACUAUAUUCCAUAAAUAAUCUGAAAUAAAAUCAGAUUCUUGAACUUGCUUCUAAUAUAUCUGAAACUAAAAAAGGUAACUCCAAUUAUUGAUAUUUUUUAUCCAAAAAUUUCAGAAAAUUAGAAAAAUAGAACGGAGCGAUGUGAGAGGCGCCACCUACACGCCCCUCGCUUCUCCUUUAUAUAAGUAUAUUGAUUUGAAAAAAAAAUUGUAUAUUAAAAAAUUUUCAACCGCACAGUAUUUUUAUAAAUAAUUUAUAAGGAGUUGGUAUAUUUAUAAAUAUCCCAAAACUGAUAUUAGAAUUUAAAAUUUAAUCUUUAUUUAAUUUUAAUUAUUCUUCCUCACAUUCACUACGAGAAGAAUGGGGAAGACUUCUUUAUCGUGUUGAUGGUGAUUAAAGAUACGAGCAUUUACUUUCAAAAAAAAAAAAAGAUACGAGCAUUAAUAAAUAAUUAAAAUAUUUAUGAUUGAAAUUUAAAUAAAUUUCUUCAUAUUAAAUUUAGAAACUUGUUUUUUGUCAUACAAAUUUAGGAAUUUAGUUUAAGAUAAAUGUAGGAGUAUAAUACAAAAUUAAUUUCUUUAAUAAAUAAAAUUUAGUUUUGGAAGGUGUUUAUAGAAAAACGUAUUUAUUUUAAAAAAUAUGAGGACUUUUUUAUUUAAUAUUUUUUAGCUAUUUGCAUCUUAUAAUCACUGGAACCAAAGAUGACAACAAAUGAGUAGACUUACUCCUUCCGUCCAAUUCAUUUCUAUAACGUCUAUAGGAUGUCUCAUUAUUUAUAUACAUUCUUAAAAUAAUAUCAUUUAAUAAUAUAUUUAUACAAUCUAUUUAUAGGAUGUCUCAUUAUUUCUAUAUAUUCUUAAAAUAAUAAUUUUUAAUGAUAUAAAACAUUAUUACGAAAAUAUAUAAAUAUAUAAAUAUAUACAUUCUCAAAAUAAUAACUUUUAAUAAUAUAAAACAUUAUUAUGAAAGAAUAUAAAUAAAGACAAACCUUCUUUCUACGAAAGAAUAUAAAAAUCUACUUGAUCUUCGUAACAAACCAUCUGAACAAAAGCAUGUAAAAUAAAGAUACUAAACAAACUCAUGAACAAAAGAUCACGGACCACAAAAAUAAAGAAUCACACAACAUACGAAUAAAAAGUUGAAACCACAUAAAUAUUUGGAAGAGAUGGUGCAAAUCUUUCUAACAAAUACAAAAUUAAUCUUUAAAAUUUGUGAGUCAUAAAGUCCGGAUGAUGACCUUGCGACUGAGAUAGCUCACGAUGCCUCUAAUCAUUCAUAUCAGUGACAAUGUUAUGCAAGAUGCAGCAGGCCUUGAUCAUACUCUGAAGCUUCUCAGGUUUCAUUCCGGUUGUAAGAACCUUCCAUUCUUCCUUUAGCCUAUCCAAUUUCUCAACACUCAUUCCCUCUUCAACGGCACUAUCCAAUGUCUCAGCACUCGUUCCCCCUUCAGUGGCAGCGCCAGGCCCAUGGAGGUGGCUAAGGCCAUUUACUGCCUCCACAAAGGACCGUGUGACCUUGUCAGCAGUAAAUGAGUGCAUCCCAGUUUCAUCACCGAUUGAGUUCAGCGACUUCCCCAAUUUAAGCCUUCUCAUAGCUAUGGCCACUUUAGCAUCCACGGUUAAUUCCCUGUUAUCGUUAAAUUUGUAUUUCGGUGAAUUGCCCAGAGGCUCCUUCACAAGAGUGCAUAAGUCUCUGAAGGUUCUCAUCGAGAUCCCACAGAAUGUUUCAACUCUGUUCGAGUAUUCCCGUGGAGUAAACUGUCCUGCAAAGAAGAGAAGAUAAUGCAUUUACAUAUGUCAAUUUAACCUGAUGAAACAAUCACUCAUGAGACCGGAAACAUACUUGGUUCAGCCUGUUUGAACUACUACACAAAAUGAGAAGAAAAUUUAUUUCAUCACAUUAUAUUCUGUACAGCGGAACAGUCAUAAAAUUUUGAACUCGCAACCCAGUAUAAUAAGAGGAUAUUUGUAUAAGAAUAUGGAAAAAAGAUUGUGGACAAUCAAGACAACAUUAACAACUAUCACACACAUAUGCUAAAAUACUCAUGCGCACAUGCUAUCUUUAACUUGAUUCUUGGGUUAACACCAAAAUAGGAUUAAGUGGAAAGUACAGCCUUAAGAAUUAUUAGAUUCGAAAGAUGCAAGGACACUAAAUUAGAAGAAGAAUACCAGCAAACCUGAAAUAGAGGUCAGAAAUUCCGAAGUAACAUUUAAAAAUACUUAGAAAUUGUGAAGUUUAACAGCGAACACACACAAAACAAGCGGUUCAAUUCCACUGAUAGCUUAAAGUGUCUAGACUUAGCAACGAGAGGGAAGAAUGUGAGAGUCUUAGGUUUGCAAGACAUCUAUGUCCUUUUUUAACAAAAAGCUUCUGGCUAGUCAGAGAAAGUUUGUUUUCCUUUAAAAAAUUCACCUCCAUAAGUCAAUAAAACUACAUUGUAUCUUGAGUUCUUGACAGAAACGUCAUGUAAUUAUCGAAAAUUAUGAUUUAUUGCAUUUGACCUACCGGUUGGUUCACAGCCUGCUUCUUUUGGUGGGACUAGAUUUAUUGCAUUUGACCUGCCAGUAUCCUGUUUCUGGUGCACUAAGCUACUCCUUAACUUCUUAGGAAAGCUCUUUAUAGGAUUUCCCUGGGCAGGCUUCUCCUCUUCAUCUAUACUUGAACCAUGACCAUUGUUCUUUGGAACAAGGUUGGAAUCUAAGGAUAAAAGAAUAUUUGAUCAGUAAAGAAAAUACAAUCCAAACUUUAACAAGAAAUAAAAUGGUCAACUCUGUAAGUUGAAAUAAUAUCUGAAAUACAUAUAGAGGAUACUUGCAGAGUCAGAAUAGAAAUUUUUUACUGAGAUAACCAUAAUGAGAAUAAAACAUAAUCCUAGAUAAAUAAUCUUUUACGAAACCAGUGCACAGUCAAAUUUUACAAUACCAGUGCACAGUCAAAUAUGAAAUACAGAUGCAACAAAUAUACAUAUAAUUCCUGAAAUUGUAGUCCAGUGGAUCCCCGGACCCAUAACCCUUAGUAAAAAGAUAAGGAUUCGACACCCUGUGGAUAUAACUGUUUGAGCAAGUACUUAAAUUUCUUGUGAUUGACCUUACCCCAAAGAAAGAAAUAAACAUUUAUAUAUAACUAGAAAAUUCAAGACUUAAAAACAAUUAUUCUGUCUCAAUAAUACUUCUCAUAGAUGAAAUACAUGGAUACUACCAUUAUUAUAUUGUGAAUCCCCUAGAUAUGUCAAUUUGAACUAAUUAAACAAUCACUCAUGAGACUGGAAACAUACUUGGUUCUGCCCGUUUGAACUACUACACGAAAUGCGAAGAAAAUUUAUUUCAUCACAUUGAUUUCUGUACAAUGGAACAGUCAUAAAAUUUUAAACUCAAACCCGGUAUAAUAAGAGGAUAUUUGUAUAAGAAUAUGGAAAACAGAUCGUGGACUAUCAAGACAACUUUUAACAACUAUUACACACAUAUGCUAAUACUCAUGCGCACAUGCUAUAUUCAACUUGAUUCUUGGGUUAACACCAAAAUAGGAUUAAGUGGAAAGUACAGCCUUAAGAAUUAUUAGAUUCGAAAGAUGCAAGGAUACUAAAUUAGAAGCAGAAUACCAGCACCUGAAAUAGAGGUCAGAAAUUCCGAAGUAACAUUUACAAAUACUUAGAAAUCGUCAAGUUUAACAGCGAACACACACUAAACAAGCGGUUCAAUUCCACUGAUAGCUUAAAGUGUCUAGACUUAGCAUCGAGAGGGAAGAAUGUGUGAGUCUACGUCCUUUUUUUAUCUAAAAGCUUCUGGAUAGUCAGAGAAAAGUUUGUUUUCUUUUAAAAAAUACAUCUCCAUAAGUCAAUAAAACUACAUUUUAUCUUGAGUUCUUGACAGAAACGUCAUGUAAUUAUCGAAAAUUAAGAUUUAUUGCAUUUGACCUACCGGUUGGUUCACUUGCUGCUGCUUCGUUUGGCGGGACUAGAUUUAUUGCAUUUGACCUGCCAUUAUCCUGUUUCUGGUGCACUAAGCUACUCCUUAACUUCUUAGGAAAGCUCUUUAUAGAAUUUCCCUGGGCAGGCUUCUCCUCUUCAUCUAUACUUGAACCAUGACGUUUGUACCUUGGAACAAGGUCGGAAUCUAAGGAUCAAAGAAUAUUUUGAUUAGUAAAGAAAAUACACUCCCAACUUUAAUAAGAAAUAAAAUGGUCAACUCUUUAAGUUGAAAUAAUAUCUGAAAUACAUAUAGAGGAUACUUGCAGAGUCAGAAUAGAAAUUUUUUUCUGGGAUAACCAUAAAUGAGAAUAAAACAUAAUCCUAGAUAAAUAAUCUUUUACGAAACCAGUGCACAGUCAAAUUUUAAAAUCUUAGGUUCCUUAUUGUCUUACAUCAAUAAGCACCAAAUACUAUACAUGAAAUACAGAUGCAACAAAUAUACAUAUAGUUCCUGAAAUUGUAGUCCAGUGGAUACCCGAACCCAUAACCCUUAGUAACAAGAUAAGGAUUCGACACCCUGUGGAUACAACUGUUUGAGCAAGUACUUAAAUUUCUUGUGAUUGACCUUACCCCAAAGAAAGAAAUAAACAUUUAUAUAUAACUAGGAAAUUCAAGACUUAAAAACAAUUAUUCUGUCUCAAUAAUACUACUUAUAGAUGAAAUACAUGGAUACUACCAUUAUUAUAUUGUGAAUCCCCUAGAUAUGUCAAUUUGAACUAAUUAAACAAUCACUCAUGAGACCGGAAACAUACUUGGUUCUGCCCGUUUGAACUACUACACGAAAUGUGAGGAAAAUUUAUUUCAUCACAUUGAUUUCUGUACAAUGGAACAGUCAUAAAAUUUUAAACUCAAAACCCAGUAUAAUAAGAGGAUAUUUGUAUAAGAAUAUGGAAAACAGAUUGUGGACUAUCAAGACAACUUUUAACAACUAUUACACACAUAUGCUAAUACUCAUGCGCACAUGCUAUAUUUAACUUGAUUCUUGGGUUAACACCAAAAUAGGAUUAAGUGGAAAGUACAGCCUUAAGAAUUAUUAGAUUCGAAAGAUGCAAGGAUACUAAAUUAGAAGCAGAAUACCAGCAAACCUGAAAUAGAGGUCAGAAAUUCUGAAAUAACAUUUACAAAUACUUAGAUAAUGUCAAGUUUAAGAGAGAAUACACACUAAACAAGUGGUUCAAUUCCACUGAUAGCUUAAAGUGUCUAGACUUAGCAACGAGAGGGAAGAAUGUGAUAUUCUUAAGUAUGCAAGACAUCUAUGUCCUUUUUUAUCUAAAAGCUUCUGGCUAGUCAGAGAAAAGUUUGUUUUCUUUUCAAAAUACAUCUCAAUAAGUCAAUAAAACUACAUUGUAUUCUUGAGUUUUGGACAAAAACUUCAUGUAAUUAUCAAAGAUGCAAUUCCUUCACUCUCCUAUGCUGUAAAUCCAUCACUUAAGCGAACUUAUUAAAGAGAAAAUUUUUGAAUACUAAAAGUUAAGAAUUUGCACCUGAGCUUAAGAAAAAUGUUAUCCACAGAUGCAUGCAUUUAGAUUUUCUUAUUUCUUUAACCUCUAAUAUAGAUGAUAAGACGACGCCUGAAAAAUUGAUUGUCAAAUGCUUAUCAUGAAUGACACUGGACGACUUUCUUAAUUCAAAACACAAAGUUUCUCCUUGCAUUCAACACAGAGUAGUACAAUUCCAAAUCAAACAAAUACUCCUUACAUGUUACAGAAGUGAUAUGUACCUGAUAUAGCAGGCGGCGAGUCAACAUUUCUCACCAAUGAUAUGAGCCACUGCACUACAUCGUCCCGGUUUCUCCACUGUGUAUAUGCAUUAAUGGUUGCAUUCGACCCAAAAGCCUCAAGAUACUCCUUCGCAACUACAUACAUCAUCCGACCUUCUCUGUUCUCAUUACCAACAGCAGCAAGCAGUGAAAUUCCUGAAUACGAUCUCAAGUGAUAUUCGACAUUGACCUCAGAAAUAGUUCUCUCUUCCCAGGCAUUGUAGUUAUGUUUUUUCCCACCCAUCCUAAUGACAGACACACACUCAGACAAUAAGAAUCAAAGUGUAACAAUAUAAAUAGUUAAUUACUCAAACACAUAACCACCAGCAAACCGCCCUCCCCCCCCCUCCCCCCCCCCCCCNAAUUACCCAAAUCAAUUAGAGGUAAAAUUCAGCAUGACAACCGAAAGGCUCUUCUUUCUUGUAAACACCCCAACCCACCCCACACACACACACACACUUACUUUUCAAUCCCAACAAUAACACAAAAUGAAUAAAAGAACUGACAAACUUGGAAAUAAUUAUCUGAUUAAUAUCCAUCUCGAAAGGAAUACAAACAAAUCUAUUAGUAGCAGUUGUGCACAAGGUUGAAUGACCCCCGAAGGACCUCGACAAGGUGUAGGAAAAACAGAAAACUCAACCAGAGAUGUGUUACAUAUAUACAAUAUAGAGUCAGCCAGUCAGGGAAAACAUAUAAAAAAAUCAUUAAACAGAUAACUGCUUUAUAAGAUAAUGCAGGGUAAAAGUUAUUAAAAUAUAAAUGAAAAAAUUGGGAAUAGCACCUACCUUGAGUGGCAACGAGUACAAGUUUAUGCAAACUAUGGCACAGCGUGAGGCACUAAGAAGAAGAUUUUUUUGUUUCAAAUUAAAAAAAUGGCUUUCACCUAUACAAGACUAACAUAACAACCAGAAGAUAUAAACACUGUGGAAAAAUUCAAUUUUGAUUGCGAUAGAGCCAUUGAAUGCUGCUGAGGUGAUAUCUUUGGACAAUACUGUACUGACAAAUCUUAAAAGUAACAUUAAAGAGUAACGUACAAUCGAGAUAGGUAAAGAGGAAGAGAAAGUCAAGGACUCAGAGAUUGGAAUAUGCUUACAUCUUCUGCAGAGAUGGCAAUUUGACAACAUCUCGUAAAUGUAAAACCGAAAAAAAAAAACACUGUUGAUAUAUGUGCAUAAAGAAUAAACAUACAGAAAACCAGAUGCACACACAUAAACCAAGUAAAAUGGUCAGCAGCAAAAAACUAUUAAUUACAUCGCUGCAUAUUACCUCGAGCUAAAUUUCCUUUGCUUCUCUGAAAGAACAAUUUUUUAGCUAAUGUUCUUCUGCUUCUCUGAGAACAAUUUUGAAAGAUAACAUAACACUUAUACCCCGAAAACACAAUUAGGCAUACAUUUUCAAUUUGGGAUAAUUGAAUCUAGACGUUCUUUUUGUUUCUUUUGCCAAGUAGAUAUAGAUAUUUUUUAAUUACGCGAGGAUAAUUUGAAUCUUGCGGAUUUUGUUGAUUUCAAUUGGAACUUCAAGUUCGAUAUGAAUAUCCAGCUAUUAUUUCCAUAGAACAAAAUCAGUGUAAAGGUUUAAUGUUUUUCUGAAGUAAUCAAAUUAUACAAAAGUAUAUAUGUUGUAAAGGACAAGAUAUUAAUAUUGUAUAUUAUUAAGAAAUUGUAUUUAAGCGAUAAAAAUCAAUGGGCUACCUUUAUCACAAUAAUAACUAUAUCUCAGAGUCCCAACCCCCAAUAUUAUCAUUUUUAUAAUGGAGACAAAUUAUUGUCCCGAGAUGUGCUCAUGACCCACUGUCCACCUAGAAACAGGCUUUCGAAUGAGGUGAAUUGAUAGAGUAUAAUUUCGAGUAAGCGGUCCUAAAAAGAGAUUAUUAUUACAUAGAGUUUGGACCAUAAACUUGUAUUAUAAUAAGGAGUUUAUUCUUAUAUAGAGUAAUACUAUACAAAGGUUCCAUUGUAUAUGAUCCACAUAAGCCCACCUCCUACCACACUAAGAUUUUAGGAUUGUUGAUUGCUUAACAUGGCAUCAAAUUUCGGUCAAGAAAGUGGUCUCGGGUUCGACUCUUCUCGCCUAAUUUGUAUGAUUUAAUGUGUUGAUAAAAAAAAGUAGUUGAAGCUUAGUUAAUAACAUAUUACCUAUUUCAUUUAAUUCCAACAAAUAAUUUAUAUGCCUCAAGAUUUUUUUUACCAAUGUGGUUAUUUCCAUACAUAAGAGAUUUUUGUAAUAAGAAUAAGAUGCCAAAAUUUUACUAAAAAUACCGCUUUCUCCAAAAAAGAAUGGCAUAAUAAAAAAUAUUGAGUAUGUGUGUGCGUGCGCAAAUGAAACUUAGAUACACUCUGAUCACGUGGUCAAUUUUUCUUAAUAUCAUUUGAUGUCUACCUUAAUCAUAAUUGUUUUGUAUUUCUUUACAUUUCUCCUCACAUGCCUGAAAUAGGUUUUGUCUCUUGAAAAUGUAACAUAAAACAAAUUUUACAGGAAUAUUAAUUGAUUCUUAUUUAUAUACAAGUGUAAAUUGUUAUUAGUUAUUAGCUUAAUAAUUGCAGUUAAUGAUUAUUUGUUAUUAGUUAAUAAUCACAUAGCAAAAUAAAUUUAAAACAUGAAAUAUAAAAAGAAUAGCUCAGUUUAGUCUAUUAAAAAAAUAAAAUUUUAACCUAAACAAUACAGUGUGGUACUCCAUGUUGAUAAGCCCGGCUCAAACUAUGUUGAGGCCCUGUCCAUAUAUCAUAAAGUGAUGCCCCAGGAUAUAUUCAACUAUAAUAUGUUUUUUUUUAAAAUUACACAUUCUAAGUGUAUAUAACAGGGUGUAAUAUUUUAAUAAUACAUAAACAAUUUUUUCUAUAUAAUUCUAAACUCAUAGAAUUAAAAAACUUCAUCUUUCAAAAUUUAAUAUAGUUAAAAAAAAACACUAGAAAUGUAUUCUAGAGAUACAUAAUUCAAGAUCAAGAUUUAUUUUUAAUCUUCUAUUUGAUGUUAAGUUUUGUUAUAAUGAUUAUUAUUCAAUUAUUGUGAUUUUGUGUUUGUGAUUAUCAUUAUUAUACUAUAAAAGUUGAAAAUUACAUGUAUUAUGUUUAAAAGUUAAUGAACAAUCAUUGUUGAUGGAAAAUAAUGAAAAAUAACAUCAACAAUACUUAAACUUAUGAUAACAGAGCAAAAUAAUCACAGAGCAAAAUAAAUUUAAAACCAUCUAAAAAUAAAAUUUUAACCUAGAUCAACUCUAUAUACAGUUAUUACCAGUUAAGAUAUGGAUACAUUAGAUAUAGAAUAUUACUACUUAAAGUUAUCAAGAAAAGAAACAUUACUUGCACAAGUUUUGAUCUUUAUAACUUUUUCUUAUCAAGGUUAAAUAAUGAAUACAUUGUAUAGAAUUAGAAGUUUCGAUCUUGUAUACUUUAUCUUGAAGUCUACUUUUAUAUGAGCUCAACCAUAUAUUCUAAAUGGAAAUAAUUAGAAGAUCCAUACUUUAUCAAUCCUUUCCAAAUCCAUUAGUCUUUAGAGUCUAUUCAUUACUUUACGUCUUCAACUCAACUCAGUACUUCAUUAUUAGUAUAGAAGUCCUUGCUAUUUAAACGCGUUAGGCCCAGAGUAUUAAUCCUAUUAUUUGACCCAACAUAUGUACUAUAGACGAUGGAAAAAAUCCAGUUAGGCUAUAACUAUAAAGUAUAAAUUGUGGUAUCUAUUUUUUUAAUCAAAAUUAGAAAGAGCGUGCAUAAUAUAUGUAAUAUAGUCAUCCUACAAAAAAUAAUGAAAUAAACCAAUUAUGUUAUGCAGAAGGUGUGAAACAAAAACAAAAUUUACAGUAAUUAUUUUAGUACAUCGAAAUGACGCUGAAGAUGUGAAACACAAAUAAAAUUAACGGUAAUUAUUUUAGUACAUCUAAAUGACGUACCGUCCAAGGCCAGCAGUUCCCACUGAGUAUAGGAGUCUGAAUAACCUGCACAGUGUUAACCUCCAUUUCAUGAAACCCAACAUUACUACUAAUCAUUAGAUACAAUAAGACCUGUAACUGCAUUUGUAAUUGGUAGACAAUUUCCCCUUUUUUGGAGCAUCACCAGUAAUCCUUACAUGAGCAUGUCCCUGCAACAAAAUGAUGAAACCGAUUCCGGUCCCUAAUGAUGAUCUUCCUAUUAUAAACUAUGGAGAUUAUUUUUAUGGCUGAAUGGCAGUCAUCACAAACACGGAGAUUCUUAACAAUUCGAAUUGAGACUCCUGGAGCUGUAUUAAGAAUACCAAAAGCUAUUGCAAGCUUUUCGCUGUGACGAACAAGCAAUGUCUCUUUCUCUUUAUCAUUAAUAUCUUGCAGAACAGAGGUUGUUAAAGGUACAUAGCCUGCUUCUUUCAAUCUAUUCAUAAUCUCAGAUAACAUCUUAUAGAUUUCAACAGAUUGCAAGUGUGAUUCAUCACCAGAAAUAAAUUCAUGGACUUCGUUCCCAAUUUCAAUUGAACUGCUCCCUGGGAUCCUCUGGAUUUUGUUGUUUUUCAUAAUCCUUCUCACAUUGACAACCUUGUCCCACUGUUUGGCUUGAGAAUAUAUAUUUGACAACAGAACAUAAUUCCUGUCAACAUUGGGUUCUAGUGCUACAAGUUUUAUUAUAGCUUCUUCUGCCAGUUCUACAUUCCUAUAAAUUUUACACGCUCCAAGAAGGGCUCUCAAAAUUACUGCAUCCGGUUCGAAAGGCAUGCUUCUAAUAAGUUCUCUAGCUUCCUGAAGUCUCCCUGAUCGGCCCAGAAUGUCAACCAUGUUUCCAUAGUGUUCAAUUUUGGGAGGAAUACAAUAGAUAUCACUCAUAGCAUUAAAAUAUGUCCACCCCUUGUCAAAUAAGCCAAUGUGACUACAUGCUGUCAGCACACCUAUGAAGGUGAUAUCAUUGGGUUUAGUUCCUUCAGAUAUCAUUUUAGAAAAAAGAUCAAGUGCAGCCUCACCGUACCCAUGGUUAGCAAGCCCCAUUAUCAUUGCACUCCAGGCAAAAACAUCCUUCUUACUCAUCUGCUUAAAACAACCCACUGCAUUGUCUAUAUCCCCACACUUUGCAUACAUGUCAACAAGAGAUGUACCGAGCCUUAUACCUAUUUCGAUACAACUUCUUUUAAUGUACUCAUGGAUCAUCUUUCCCAUACCUAAAGCACCUAUAUCUCCACAUGCACACAACACACUAACCAUUGUGAUCUGAUCAGGCACUACAUUCGAUAACUGCAUUUCAUGAAAAAGUUUCAAAGCAUUACUAGAGCACCUGGAUUUUGCGCAGGUUGGGAACAUGGAGCUCCAAGAAACAAAAUCCUUUCUAGCACUUGUAUCAAACAAAUCUUGGGCAGAUUCAAUAUCACCAAUCGAAGCAUAGCCAUGAAUCAUAGUAUUCCAAGAAACUAAGUCUCUAUCAGAAAUCUUAUCAAAAAACUCUUCAGCCAAUCCCAUCUCCCUAACUCUAACAUAUUCUCCCAACAUAACAUUACAAGAAAUACAAUCCGGAUCCUUAAUUUCAUCAAACACUUUCCUCGAAACAUCCACCAAACCAAAUCUCCCAUACAUUUCAAUCAACGCCGUCUGAACAAACAAAUCAGACCCAAAACCAUGUUUCAAACAAUAAGCAUGUAAAGAUUCCCCAUUCUCACUAUCAACCAAUCUCCCACACGACUGAAGAACCACCGAUAAGCUAAAACUAUCAAUACAAAUCCCAUCAAAACGACACAUUCGCAUAAAAAGUGACAGACUCUCUUCAGGGUUGUUUGAUUUUAGGUAACCUCUAAUCAUAGUAUUAAACAUGAAAGUAUCUGGUUGAGGAAUUGUGUCAAACAGAUUGCGGGCAUACGAGAUAUCAUCAGCGAUCGGUGUCAAUAUCUUACCUAAUAGCUUGGUUAGGACAACAACGUUGAUGUCUAAAGCGGUUUUGAGAAUUAAAGCAUGGAUUUGGAGAAGAUGGUUGAGGUUAGUUGAGUGUUGUAUAAGGGACAUUACAUUGUGUUUGAUGGUUUUAUAGGUUGGUCUCAUGUUUGAAUGUAACUGUAUUAACUACUUUUCGCGGUAUACUUACACUUGUACGUACCACCAUGAGCUGGACAGUUCUAAAAAUCGUCCAUUUGAUCAAUUAAUCACCCGAUUUAUUUACAAGAUAUUUUUAUUGAUUCAGUCUUUUAAAUAUGAUUAAAAAUAAUAUAUAUUUGUAGAACUAGUAUAAUUGGUAAAAUAAAUAUUAUGUCUUUUUGUAAUUGAACAUUUUUUGAAAAAAAAUGUUUCAUAAACAGUAACAUAUAAUUGUUAGAUUAACACUUGAUAAAAGCUAUUGAAUCAGUUCAAUAAUUUUGAUAACAAGUUAUUAAAUGAGACCAGAUUAAUAAUUUUAAUGAUGUGUAAGAUCUCAGUAUGAUUUUAUGGUAAUACUAUAUGGGGUUUUAAAUCAAAUAUAUGAACUGACUCUAACAAUUCCUAAUGGUCACCUACACAAUUACACCCUAAAAUUAAGGCUGAAACACACAAUAGCCAUUCAAGUUUACACCAAUAUGCAUGUCAACCCUCAAAGUUCAAAAAUGUUCGGUCCAGCCACCAAAGUUACAAGAAUGUAACUACUAGCCACAUGAGACAGAGAGUGCAUGGCACACUCCCUGCCUGAGACUUGAGAGUACACUGACAUAUACUCCCACACUAUGCAUGUCCUUUUACUCCUCCAUCUCAGUUAUUAUUUCAGUUCUAUUAGUUAAAAUUAUGUUAGUCCGAGUUUGAGAAAAUACAUUUUUUCGCCAACCAACUCAUUGUUUGUUUAGAAAUUUGCCACCGAACUAUAAUUUUUUUCCUUUUUGUCACUAAUGUUAGGUUCGGAUUUUUUGAACUAUAAUUUUUUUCCUUUUUGUCACUAAUGUUAGGUUCGGAUUUUUUUUAGUCACUAAGCCUAGGCUCAGAUUUGAUUACUAACAUUAUGUUAAUUUUUUAGUAUUAUUAAACUAUAGUGAUAGUCUGCAAUAUAUUAUGAAGAUCUGAUAUAUGUCUAUAUCUUUGUAUGUAGCACUUACGCAUGUCCCCUAGAUAGUUCACCUUGUAGGACGAGAGUUUGACAUAUAUUUUAAGGCUCCUACAAAAUUUAGUUUCAUGAAUUAUUUUAAUUUUUUUUCUAAGUAAAAGUUAUGAUUGUCUAUUGUUUAUAUUAUAUAUAGUUUCAUAAAAAUCAAGGUUAGAUAUCAUCUACAAUUAUUUAUACCAUUGUACAAAAAUAAGGACGAAUAUCAUAAAAAAAGUAAACGAUAUACAAUUAAUCUUUAUUUUACCCCUCAUUUAUGUUAUUAUUAGAGCAACCCCAAUGCAAGUUCUCCUUACUCAUAUUUGGUCUAGGUGGACAAGAUUUAGGGGUUAGGAUCAAAAAUCAAUCCUCCAACGCAGCUUCCCAUCCCAUAAAAAUUUUAGGGGAGAGAAAACUCAUCCCCUUAUUUGAGAGAGCAAAAAGCCAACCCCUUGUUAAAAUAAUUUAUGAAACUUAAUCGUUUAGGAGCCUUAAAAUAUGUGUCAAAUUUUCGUCCUCCAAGGUAAACUAGCAGGGGCACAUAUGGAGUACUACAUAUAAAGAUAUAAACACAUAUCAGAUCACCGUAAUAUUGCGGACUACCAUUAUGUUUCAAUAAUGCUAAAAAGAAUAAUAUAAUGUUAAUAAUCAAAUCCGAACCUAACGUUAUUGACAAAAAAAAAUCCGAACCUAACAUUAGUGACAAAAAGGAAAAAAAUUAUAGUUCAGUGACAAAUUUCUUAACAAACAAUAAGUUGGGUGGCGAAAAAAUCUACCGUCCGAGGUUUCUAACCUGCUUUGAUUAGCAGUGUCCGUGUAUGACUAGAAGAUGGCCGGGGCAGCUGUGUUUCUCAGUCGAUUAUUCUUAUUAAUAUAUUAAUAUAUUAUUAUUAAUAAAGUUACAUAUCAUUCGAAUUUGUGUGUAGAUAUUUAGUUUUUAUUUUGCAAAAUCGAGCAGCAUAUAUCUUCAGUACAUUAAAAUAAAAAGCAUCAAGUUUGGUCCUAAGAUAAUAUCGUAACAUUCUAUUUAUAAGUUAUUUUUUUAAUUAAAGUUAAUCAUUAUUAUAAUUUAUAAUAAACCAAAAAUAUAUUUAAUUUAACACACUCGAUGAUUUUAUUUUAAAUAAAACACGUUUAUUUUAUAAUUAUAAAAUCAAACACAUUUACUUUUUAGUUAUAAAAUCUUUUUGUUAAAAAAUAUAUAUUAUUCUUGAAUAACCUUUUCAUUAAAAAAAAUAUAUUAAAAUUAUUUUAAUAAAUAUUAUAAAUCACAUAAAAGUAUAACACGGAUUAUGAACUAAAAUAUUAUAUGAGAAAGAUAUUUAUAGUCUAGGCAGACCCGUCUCGAUCAAAGAAAGAGGUCAUGUUUAAAUUUAAAUAUGGGCACUUUUAUUAAUAAGAUACAUACCACAUAAAUAUGUUUUAUUUUAAAUUAAAUUAGAACUUGAAACAAAAACCUUUAACAAUACAUGUACAUCGUCGAGCCUUAUUUAAAUUUUUUGUUAAAUAUAUUAAUUUAUUUAAUACAAAAAAUAAAUUAUUAUUACUAUAAUAUAUAAUUUGUGAUAAGAAAUAAAAAUUAUAUAUUAAUUAUUUUACUAAAAUUAAUUAACAAUUUAAUACAAGAAGCUCAAAAAAUAAUUCAAUAAAUAACACAUAAAUUUAAAAUAAAAUACUAACAUAAAAAUAUACCAAAAAUAUACCAAAAGCGCUAAAAAAAAACUUUAUUAAUUAAUAAUACUAGGUGCAUUUAUUUUAAAAAGAACAAUGGGUGUUGCUGCAUAGUACUAUGGAGGCCAUAACGGUGAAAGGAAAAGGGAAAGGUACAUGCAUCUGUGCAGAGUGUAUGUCAGACAGUAAGACUACUCUCAGGCAGGGAGUUUGCCAUGCACUCUCUGUCUCAUGUGGCUAGCAGUUACAUUCUUGUAACUUCGGUGGCUGGACCGAACAUUUUUGAACUUUGAGGGUUGACAUGCAUAUUGGUGUAAACUUGAAUGGCUGUUGUGCGUUUUAACCUAAAAUUAAAAGUGAGAAAAAUCUUGAAUUCAAACCGAAAUCGAACUCAGAAAUAAAAAAAAAAAAACCUGACAAAAAUCGAACUGCAUAAAAUCGAGCCGAGCCGAAACUAAAAAUUUUAAAACCGAACCGAAUCUAACGGAUGAUGUUCCAGUUUUAAGUGAAAACCGAGCCAAAUAAAAUCUAACCAAACCGAUUAUAUAAAUAAAUAUUAUUAAAUAUUAUUUAUUUAUAUAAUAUAAUUUUAUAAGAUAAAUAUAUAAACCAAAUUAAUGUCAUAGUGUAUUAUGGGUUAUCAAUAUGUUAAUCGUAUGUCGCGGAGUAGUGUAACAGUAGCUAGUGGGGAAGUGAGUAUAAACCUCAUAAGUUUAAACAUAUAAGUAUGAUUGUUAUAUUCUGAGUGAAUAAGCACAAACAUAUGAGUCACAAGCAUGAUAUUAUUAAGUUACUUUAUAUGAUUAGGUUUUUGUUUAUAUUUUCGUUUUGUUGGAUACAAUUAAACAUACCUAAAUAGUUCUUUAUUCGAGCAAUUGUCUAAAUUUAAAUUUAAAAUUUCUCAUUAACAUUAAUCAAGUUAACCAAUUUAUUUAUCAAACUGGAAGUAUGUUUCUUGAUUUUAUUUUUUGCGGUUUAAAACUGAAAACGAACUGACCGAACCGGAGUUUUAAAACCGAAAUCGAAAAUGACAGUUCAAUUACGGUUGCGGUUUCAACUUUUAAAACCGAGGACUUUCGGUUUCGGUUUUACCCAAACCGAACCGAACUGAGGUUUGCUCUUCCCUAGUUAAAACAACUUUAUUCAAUUUUUUGAAUAAUACUAGCUCAUCAUUGAAAAUAUCUUACAAAAUCUCUUUUCAAUGUUAUUAAUGAAUUCUCAUGAAAUUAUUAAAUAUCUAAUUUAAGAAAAAGGAGGAAAUUGAAGAUAUUAACAUGAUUAUAACUACAUGAACACAACUUCAUUAAAUAAAAAAUAGCAAUAACCUUCCACGUCACUAUCAUGACGGAUCUUUCUUGAACCAUCGAGUCGUCAAUAAUAACAUAGCAAUAGGUUACAAGAAGUGCAUGCCUUAAACUCUUAAGAUGACUUCGACUCAUCAACAAUAACAUAGCAAUAGAUUAUAAGAAGAGGAUGCCUUGGACUCUUAAGAUGACUUUUAAUUUUGGUCUGAGUUUAUGAUAAGAGUUUGGGAUAUGUAGACCCCGAGCUUAAAUGGAUGACGGACCUAUAAAUAGUAAUCCCCCAACUGGUUUAAAAAGACCACAAACGCAAACCAAGAACAGCUUAAAAAAGUCCAUAGACGGGCUUGCAGAAUACAUGAUCCAAAUAAAAGUAUAUAUAAUUCAAAUAUGAAAAACAGGUCAACUUAUCAUAAAUCUCAAAUUUUGAUGAUCACAUUUUAGCAAACUGUCUCUAUAUAUCAGCUUAAUAUUAUUGUCUAAUUGUUAUAAUAAUGUGUUGUAUUUCAGAAUCUAAUCAAGUUUUGUAGGGUAUUAAAGUAUCAGAAUAAUAGCAAGCUUCUAUUUAAAAAACAAAUGCUACGACAGAGAACAGAAUUCUACGUAGAAUUAUAUUCAUUCUACGUAGAAUUCUACGUAGAGAACACAAUCUGAGCACAUAUGGAACUCAUAAUGAGAGGCUUUGAUAUGUACUAGAAAAACUGGUUCACAAACAAUAAAGUAUACCAAGAACCCACAUUCUGAACGUAAGCACAGGCAUGUUCGGAUCAUCAGUUUGCGUAACUAGUACAUUAGCAAAGGCGUCCUUUUCUAAUAUCUCAGAUAUGCAUAUAAAAGAGUAUACAUGUAUAAUAAAGAUACUAAACAAACUCAUCAACUAAAUAUUAGUGACCACAAAAACAAAUAAUUACACAACCACGUAAAAAAAGAGGAAACCAAAGAAAUAUUUGGAAGAGUCAUUUCAAAGCUUUCUAACAAUUACAAAACUAAUCUUUAAAAUCUGUGAUGCAAAAAGCCUGGAUGAUGACCUUCCGACAGAGAUAGCUCACGUUGCCUCUCAUCAUUCAUGUUGAUGACAAUGUUAUGCAAGAUGCAGCAGGCCUUGGUCAUACAUCGAAGCGUUUCAGGUUUCAUUACAGUUGUAAGAACCUUCCAUUCUUUCUUUAGCCUAUUAAAUGUCUCAGCACUCAUUCCCUCUUCAGGGGCAGAAGCAGGCCCACGGAGGUGGCGAUGGCCAUUUUCUGCCAAGACCUCCACAAAGGACCAUGUGACCUUAGCAGCGGUAAAUGAGUGCGUCCCAAUUUCACCACCAAUUGAAUUCAGCAACUUGCCCAAUUUUAGGCUUCUCAUAGCUAUGGCUACUUUAUCAACCACAGUUAAUUCCCUGUUAUCGUUAAAUUUAAAUAUUUGUGAAUUUGACAUAGGCUCCAUCACAAGAGAGCAUAAGUAUCUGAAGGUUCUCAUUGAGAUCCCGCAGUAUACUUCGACUCUGGUUGAGUCUUCCACGAGAGGAAAAUGUCCUGCAAAGAAGAGAAGAAAAUGCAUUUUUAUACAUACGACUAAGACACUGCCAUAAUGUGUUUAUCAGGCUUAAAACUUGAACAUAUUAGAUUAAUGCAUAACACCAUACUAUUCCAUUCAUUUCAGUAUACACUAUACAUACACACAUCGACCUGUAAACUGUAUAAACAAAAUGAAGCUAGAAUGUCAAAAAUGUAAAUCAGUAAACUGCUUGUGAUUAACACACAGGGAUAUAUCGCUUUCAGUAAGGUUCCAAUCUGCAAAGAAUGCUACAGCUUUCAUAUCAAAUCAGAAUCAAUAUGAACUGAUUAUAAGUGGAUACUUUCGGUAUUCAUAGCAAGUUACAAGCUCCCAGGAAAACAUUAUAUCUACCAUAAUAUAGCUGUUUGACUAAACAAACCCUUACAAGAACUAAGUAAAUAACAACAUAUUCGAAAACAACAGAUUAGAUAUUGUUCCAAAGACUAAAACAACUGGAAGCAGUUUGACCUUAAUUACUAGUUUGACCUUGUGGAACUGGAAAUAGAAGUAUUUUGAAUAGCGACUUGCCUAAAAUCAAUCCCUUGCUACUUUGGAAAAAAAGCUAGUCCUGAAUUCUCACUGGUGACUUAUAGAUCAUAUAAUCAGAAGAUGAUUAUACUCGGUAUAGUUUGGAUUUACCUCAUAUUUUCUUCUAUGUAUGCACCAAUGUCAAAAUCUGAAAUGCUUUCUUUCCCAUAUUAUAGAGUAUAAACAAAGAAACUAAAAUAUCCACAACUACAUACAAAUCACAUCACCUUCCUCAACUCCUUGCAAAUCUCAUGACUCUAAUCCCAUCAGCAAAAUUUAUAUACACAUUACAUAACUCCCAGAAUUAAAAUUUAAAUGUUUAUAUCUUCAUUGUACUAAGCGACAAUUAAAUUCUAGGUCAAAUAAGACUCCGAACUACAGACUGAGGAUUUAUUCAUUCUCUAUCUGAAGUGAUUUUCAAUAAAUCAAAAGACAAAUCAACUGGUCACAAAUUAGAAUUCAUCAAACGCAGAUGAACAAGCAAACAAAAAAUAAAUUCGGGAAAAAAAGGUAGUACAUACCAAACCAUAACGAAAUCAACAAGAACAAUUCAUCACCACCAAAUGAGAACUUAAGAAUUUGAAGAUUUACAUACCAGCAAUCCUCUUCACGAAUUCGGCAAACCAUAUAACGUAAUUUAAAGGGAAUUUGCCACAAUUAGCUUCACUUCUUUCCAUUCUUUUGUGGUUUGAGGAAUGGAGAUUGAUUUUCCUUGCCACCGUACAAUAACUCUAAAGUUUGCGACUUUAAAGUUUGUUGGAACACAAAAGUAUAUAAAGAGUGAGAUGGAUGGGUCUGGGAUGACGUCAACGUGUUGAUGGAGGUUAAAAGAAAUAGAAUAGUAUAAGGAGUAUGUUUGUGAAUACUGGGGGUCGGCUUCAUAUAUACAAAUUUAUCCUAAGGAAAUUGUAAUUGGGCAUAAAAUAAAUUUUAUUUCAAAGUUGUAGCUCAUAUAUGAAGUAAAAUAAAGUAAUUAAAAUAUACUCACUCCAUCCCAUAAANNNNNNNNNNNNNNNNNNNNNNNNNNNNNNNNNNNNNNNNNNNNNNNNNNNNNNNNNNNNNNNNNNNNNNNNNNNNNNNNNNNNNNNNNNNNNNNNNNNNNNNNNNNNNNNNNNNNNNNNNNNNNNNNNNNNNNNNNNNNNNNNNNNNNNNNNNNNNNNNNNNNNNNNNNNNNNNNNNNNNNNNNNNNNNNNNNNNNNNNNNNNNNNNNNNNNNNNNNNNNNNNNNNNNNNNNNNNNNNNNNNNNNNNNNNNNNNNNNNNNNNNNNNNNNNNNNNNNNNNNNNNNNNNNNNNNNNNNNNNNNNNNNNNNNNNNNNNNNNNNNNNNNNNNNNNNNNNNNNNNNNNNNNNNNNNNNNNNNNNNNNNNNNNNNNNNNNNNNNNNNNNNNNNNNNNNNNNNNNNNNNNNNNNNNNNNNNNNNNNNNNNNNNNNNNNNNNNNNNNNNNNNNNNNNNNNNNNNNNNNNNNNNNNNNNNNNNNNNNNNNNNNNNNNNNNNNNNNNNNNNNNNNNNNNNNNNNNNNNNNNNNNNNNNNNNNNNNNNNNNNNNNNNNNNNNNNNNNNNNNNNNNNNNNNNNNNNNNNNNNNNNNNNNNNNNNNNNNNNNNNNNNNNNNNNNNNNNNNNNNNNNNNNNNNNNNNNNNNNNNNNNNNNNNNNNNNNNNNNNNNNNNNNNNNNNNNNNNNNNNNNNNNNNNNNNNNNNNNNNNNNNNNNNNNNNNNNNNNNNNNNNNNNNNNNNNNNNNNNNNNNNNNNNNNNNNNNNNNNNNNNNNNNNNNNNNNNNNNNNNNNNNNNNNNNNNNNNNNNNNNNNNNNNNNNNNNNNNNNNNNNNNNNNNNNNNNNNNNNNNNNNNNNNNNNNNNNNNNNNNNNNNNNNNNNNNNNNNNNNNNNNNNNNNNNNNNNNNNNNNNNNNNNNNNNNNNNNNNNNNNNNNNNNNNNNNNNNNNNNNNNNNNNNNNNNNNNNNNNNNNNNNNNNNNNNNNNNNNNNNNNNNNNNNNNNNNNNNNNNNNNNNNNNNNNNNNNNNNNNNNNNNNNNNNNNNNNNNNNNNNNNNNNNNNNNNNNNNNNNNNNNNNNNNNNNNNNNNNNNNNNNNNNNNNNNNNNNNNNNNNNNNNNNNNNNNNNNNNNNNNNNNNNNNNNNNNNNNNNNNNNNNNNNNNNNNNNNNNNNNNNNNNNNNNNNNNCACUAUACAUACACACAUCGACCUGUAAACUGUAUAAACAAAAUGAAGCUAGAAUGUCAAAAAUGUAAAUCAGUAAACUGCUUGUGAUUAACACACAGGGAUAUAUCGCUUUCAGUAAGGUUCCAAUCUGCAAAGAAUGCUACAGCUUUCAUAUCAAAUCAGAAUCAAUAUGAACUGAUUAUAAGUGGAUACUUUCGGUAUUCAUAGCAAGUUACAAGCUCCCAGGAAAACAUUAUAUCUACCAUAAUAUAGCUGUUUGACUAAACAAACCCUUACAAGAACUAAGUAAAUAACAACAUAUUCGAAAACAACAGAUUAGAUAUUGUUCCAAAGACUAAGACAACUGGAAGCAGUUUGACCUUAAUUACUAGUUUGACCUUGUGGAACUGGAAAUAGAAGUAUUUUGAAUAGCGACUUGCCUAAAAUCAAUCCCUUGCUACUUUGGAAAAAAAGCUAGUCCUGAAUUCUCACUGGUGACUUAUAGAUCAUAUAAUCAGAAGAUGAUUAUACUCGGUAUAGUUUGGAUUUACCUCAUAUUUUCUUCUAUGUAUGCACCAAUGUCAAAAUCUGAAAUGCUUUCUUUCCCAUAUUAUAGAGUAUAAACAAAGAAACUAAAAUAUCCACAACUACAUACAAAUCACAUCACCUUCCUCAACUCCUUGCAAAUCUCAUGACUCUAAUCCCAUCAGCAAAAUUUAUAUACACAUUACAUAACUCCCAGAAUUAAAAUUUAAAUGUUUAUAUCUUCAUUGUACUAAGCGACAAUUAAAUUCUAGGUCAAAUAAGACUCCGAACUACAGACUGAGGAUUUAUUCAUUCUCUAUCUGAAGUGAUUUUCAAUAAAUCAAAAGACAAAUCAACUGGUCACAAAUUAGAAUUCAUCAAACGCAGAUGAACAAGCAAACAAAAAAUAAAUUCGGGAAAAAAAGGUAGUACAUACCAAACCAUAACGAAAUCAACAAGAACAAUUCAUCACCACCAAAUGAGAACUUAAGAAUUUGAAGAUUUACAUACCAGCAAUCCUCUUCACGAAUUCGGCAAACCAUAUAACGUAAUUUAAAGGGAAUUUGCCACAAUUAGCUUCACUUCUUUCCAUUCUUUUGUGGUUUGAGGAAUGGAGAUUGAUUUUCCUUGCCACCGUACAAUAACUCUAAAGUUUGCGACUUUAAAGUUUGUUGGAACACAAAAGUAUAUAAAGAGUGAGAUGGAUGGGUCUGGGAUGACGUCAACGUGUUGAUGGAGGUUAAAAGAAAUAGAAUAGUAUAAGGAGUAUGUUUGUGAAUACUGGGGGUCGGCUUCAUAUAUACAAAUUUAUCCUAAGGAAAUUGUAAUUGGGCAUAAAAUAAAUUUUAUUUCAAAGUUGUAGCUCAUAUAUGAAGUAAAAUAAAGUAAUUAAAAUAUACUCACUCCAUCCCAUAAAACAUGAGGUAAUCAAUUUUACGCACAUUUAAGAAAUUUGAGUAUGACUAUUUGAUAUGCAUUUGCAUUCACAAAAAAAUGAGUUAGUGGAUGAUGACUAAGCAUUUACCUGAACAUGUACUUAUAACUGCUUAGUCAUCAUCCACUAACUCAUCUUUUUGUGAAUGCAAAUACAUAUCAAAUAGUGAUACUCAAAGUUCUUAAAUGUGUGUAAAAUUGAUUAGCCCAUGCUUUAUAUAUGAGCUACAACUUUAAAAUAACAUUUAUUUUAUACUCAAUUACAAUUUCCUAAGGAUAAAUUUGUAUAUAUGAAGCCCACCCCCAGUAUUCACAAACAUACUCCUACUUUUACUAUUCUAUUUUCUUUAACCUCCGUCAACACGUUGAUGUUACCCCAAAUCCAUCCAUCUCACUCUUUAUAUACUUUUGUGUUCCAACAAACUUUAAAGUCGCAAACUUUAGAGUUAUUAUACGGUGGUAAGGAAAAUUAAUCUCUAUUCUUCAAACCACUUUCUUUUUAUAUCCUUUUGAUUUUAAGUUUUUAAUAACUUUACUUUAAGAGAGUGGAAAGAAGUGAAACCGAUUGUGGCAAAUUCCCUCUGAAUUAUGUUAUUUGGUUUGCCGAAUUCGUGAAGAGGAUUGUUGGUAUGUAAAUCUUCCAAUUUUCAUGUAUACUAAGUUGUUCUCAUUAAGUGGUGAUAAAUUGUUCUUGUCGAUUUCGUUAUGGUUUAGUAUGUAUUACCUUUUCUUUUUCGAAGUCAUUUUAUCUUCGCUUGUUCAUCUGUGUUUAAUGAAAUUUUAAUUUGUGACUAGUUGAUUUGUCUUUUGAUUUAUCGAAAAUUACUUUAAAUAGAAAAUGAAUAAAUCCUCAAUCUGUGGUUCGGAGUCUUAUUUGGCCUAAAAUUUAAUUGUCGUUUAGUACAAUGAAGAUAUGAACAUUUAAAUUUUAAUUAUGGGAGUCAUGUAAUGUAUUUAAAUUGUGCUGAUGGGAUUAGAGUCCUAAGAUUUGCAAGGAUUUAAGAAAGUUGAUGUGAUUCCUAUGUAGUUCUUGUGAAUAUCUUAGUUUCUUUGAUUAUACUCUUUAAUAUUGGGGAAAAAAGCAGUUCAAAUAUUGGCAUUGAGGCAUAAAUAGAAAAAAAAUGAGUUUAAUCCAAACUAUAGUGAGUAUAAUCAUCUUCUGAUUAUAUGAUUUGUAAAUCACCAGUUAUGAUUACUACUCGGUAUAUUUUGGAUUUACCUCAUAUUUUCUUCUAUGCAUGCCCACGAACUACUUAAAUCAUUCCCCGUCUACACUCAUCUUUAGUAAAUCAAAAUACAAACCAACUAGUUCCGAAUUAUAAUUUCAUCAAACACAGAUGAACAAGCAAACAUAAAAUUACUUUGCAAAAACAACAGGUAGCACAUACCAAACCAUAACGAAAUCGACAAGAACAGUUCAGCACCACCAAAUCAGAACUUAAUAUACAUGAGAAUUUGAAGAUUUACAUACCAGCAAUCCUCUUCACGUAUUGGGCAUACCAAAUAAUGUAAUUCACAUCAGGGAAUUCUCCAAUAUUUGCUUCACUGCUUUCUCUCUUAAAGCAAAGUUCUUAAAAACUUCAAAUUAGAAAGAGAUAAAAAGAAAGUGGUUCGAGGAAUGAAGAUUGUUUUUCCUUACCACUGGACAAUAACUCUAAAGUUUGCGACUUUAAAGUUUGUUGGAACAAAAGUAUAUAAAAUGUAUAUGUGUUCUAAAGCAAGAACUUAGAGAAUUUCAGACAAUGAUACAAAAGUUCUGCUUUUCUUGCUGAGGCUUCAACUUUGUUUACAUAAUAAUUACAUAAGUGAAUAUAUAAAUUUCUCCAUCCAUCACCUAGUACUCCAUGAGUUUCUGUAAAUGCUUUGCCGAUUCACAUCUGGGGUUUAGAAUUACGAGUCCAGAGUAUCUCCCGUACAUUUCAAUCAACGCCGUAUGAACAAACAAAUCAGACCCAAAUCCUCUAAUCAUCAGUAUCUAUAGUAUCUGGUUGGGGACUUGUGUCAAACAGGUGGCGGGCAUACGAGAUCUCAUCAGUGACCCGUGAGAUCUCAUCAGGUAGCUGGGUUAGGGUAACAUCUAAAGUGGUUUAGAGGAUAAGCAGAGAUUUGGAGAAGAUGAUUGCGGUUAGAUGAGUGUUCUCAGGGUUGAAUGUAUCGGCGUUCUUCACGAAGAUCCCGUUUAAUAUUUGAAACAUAUUUUCGUUAUUUGGGGUUAACAUUCUGAUUUUUUAUUUUUUUUUAAAUCAAUGAUCUAUUGAAAAAAUUCUCAUAAACUGAGGUGUAUUCUAUCGUAUUUUAAUGGACUGAUUUUAAAGGAUUGUAUGUAAUUUUGAUUUACGCGAAUUUUUGAAAAAAUGCUGAUAUAUUUUUUUUAAGAUUUAAGUAUAAUAUUUCAAAUUUUAAUGGAUUUUGGUGGUAUUUCAAAAUAAUUAAAAUUCACUCAAAAAUCUCACAAAAUAUAUAAUUUUAUGAAAUUCAUAAAAAUCCAAUAGCAUUUGUAUAUCAUUUGAAUUUUAAACAAUCCAAAUUAAAUGAAAAAAGGCCAUAACUGAAUUUUUGAGUUUAAUGCCAUGUAUAACAAAAUUUGAAAAAGUGGCCCCAAUUGACAUGUGAAGACAUUUUUAAAGGGAUAUGGCGAAAUUCACCUGCUGAUUCUUACAGACAUUAAAACAAUGAAAUUCACUUGCUGAUUCUUACAGACAUUAAAACAAUGAAAUUGUACUAUUAGUAAAGCACAUCAACUCAAGUUCAUUCUUACUUAAAACAGAAAAUGUUAUGGUAAUCUUCACUCCCAUCACUCCCAUCAUACUUUUUGAAAGGGCAAGGAGUCUGAGAUAACUUGAUGAGCACAGAGAGAGAUAGCUUUUUUCCCCCUUCUACUGAACUGAAGUUUUGGUUAUCAAUACACACACCUUUCUUAUGUAUACAAAAACUUGUUUUCCCAUAAUUUGUAAAACAAAAACGGGGUUAGGGUUUAUAAGUAGAAAUUGGGGUUUUUAAUUUGUAAAUUAAUUGUGGUUGAUUGGCUGUGUGUGAAAGGAAAGGGCAUGAAAAUGUGGGGAGGAGGCCGGAGUCUCGCGUCGGCGACGGAGACUCACGGCGGCAGAAGGGGAGACAGAUAGGCGGCCGUGGUGAGCUUGGUGCGGGGAGGAGAUUGAGGAGGUGAGGUGUGUGUACAGGAUAGAGAGAGCAACGAGGGAGGUCGCCGGAAAUUUCUCCGGCCAGGCCAGUGAGGGAGAUGAGGGAGAGAGGAGAGAUGGAGGAAGGAGUUUUUUUAUAUCAUCCUUUUAACUUUAGUUCCAUUUUAAUUUCAUUUUUCUUUUUUUAAUGUAGGUACAAAUCAGCUGGUGAUGUGUCGCCAUGUCAGCAUGAUUCAGCGGGUGAUGUGUCACCACAUCAACAAGAUUCUAACUCUGUUAGUAUCUACUUAACGGAAGGACUAGAUUCCAGCGUUUGGAAAAGUUUAAUGACCCUGUUUGAGGAAUCUUUUGCUUAGGGACCUAUCGAAUAAAAGUGGAUUAGUUUAGGGACGUAUGAAUAUAUUAUCCCCAUUUUUAAAAUAGCGUUUUAAGUAAAGGGUAAACGCUAUUGCGUGUGUUUACGGCUUUUUUCUUUUCUUCUUUUAUUAAACAAAAAAUAAAUAAUACAAUAUAAAGGAUAAAAACACUAGACGAGUUGGCGUUUUACCGUUAUAUAUAUAAGCAUAAGACGCCUCACGAACUAAAGUAGCGUCUAUAAGUUUUAUAUAUGGGUUUUGUUCCAUAGCCCCCGUAUGCCAUAUAAGCCUUAACCAACACACAGAAUCAGAAUCGUUAGAUUCAAUUUUUUUUUUUUGCCAUCCGUUAUAAUUUUUCGCGGAUCGGACUUCUCCAUUCCGCUGAUAUAAAGAGAAUUCAAUUGUUAUAAUGGAUUAUAAUGUAAGUUUUACAUUCUUUUGAAGAAUUGCAAUUUGAUUUAUAUAUAUUUGUCUUUAUAUGGAUUUUCAAUGUAUGUGUUCUAUGUGUUUGUUAAAGUGUCUAUAAGGAUUUACAUAUGAAGCAGUGGUUAGAAAUUGCUAGUAUUAUUUCUAAUUGAGUUGUAGUCACAUAUUACCAGUUAAGUUCCAGUUAUGUAAUGCAUAUUUGGAGCUUAAUUUUAGAAUUUGAAGCUUAUCUAUUACUCCCUCCAUCCCAUUUUAUGUGACCUCAUUUCCUUUUUGAGACGUCCAAUGAAUCUACAAUACUUACUAUUUUUGAACACUAUUUUUCACUAUUACACCCACUACCUCUAUAUUUUAUACUCUCUUUUUAUUAAAUAAACACUAUUACACCCACUACUUUCCUCCACUAUCUCAAAUCUAUUAUUAAAUAUUGAUGGGUCCCAUCACUUUACUCACUUUUCAACUACAUUUACUACCUUUUUCUUAAUCUCCGUGAAAGUCAAACCAGUUCACAUAAAUUGGGACGGAGCGAGUACUUCACUAUGAGAAAUCUGCUUAGGUUAUCCAUGUGUAUGCAGAAUACGUAAGUUUAGGAGCAAUAUAAUUGGAAAUGGCACUAGUUUAGGAGCAUCUUCUAUCUGAUCAACCCUACAGAGCCCACAUAUCAGAGAAUUGAAAGUGAACAUAUCUGGUUUACAUCCUCCGUUUACCAUGUCAGCGUAUAGUUCCAGAGCCUCCUUAACCUUCUCAUCCUUAGCUAAAGCAUGUAUCAGGCAGUUGUAUCCAACAGUGUUUAAGCAAAUCCCCAAUGCUGACAUUUCACGGACAGCUUCUUCUGCUUCCUUCAAUCUGCCGACCUUGCAGAACCCAUUGAUCAAACUCGUGUAUGUUAUUAGGUUGGGCUUGCAACCCAUAAUUUCCAUCUCUUUCAUCAAAUUUCGUGCUAAUUAAGAAAAAGAUUUUCUCGAACAUAGACCACGGAUGAUUAUGUUAUAUGUAUAGAUAUCUGGAUUGCAACCAACAGCGGGCAUCCUCUGCCUCAAAACAGCAUUGGCAUCAUCAAACUGUCCAUUGACCACAUGACCAUUAAUCAAAGUAUUGAACAAAACAACAUUAGGCUCAGGCACUCUGUCCAGCAAAGCUCUAGCUUUAUCAACUUGACCAGUUCGGCAUAAUCCAUCCAUUAAAAUUCCAUAAGUAAACUUGCUAGGAGUGAAGCCUCCGAGAAGCAUUCUAUCGACCAAUUUAGCACCUUCAGGUAUCCUCUUAGCACGGCAAAGACCAUGAAUAACAUCAUUAAAAGUAUCAACAUCAGGUGUGCAACCCAUCAGAAACAUUUCCUCCAAAUAUCUUAUCACGUCAUUUAUUCUGUUCACCUUACAAAGCGCAUGUAUAAGUGUCUGGUAAAUAACUGAAUUCGGCACACACCCAUGUUUUGUCAUAUCUCUUAAAAGUGAACAUGCAGAAUCCACCUCAUUAACCAUACAAAGCGCUUUCAUCAUCACCACACCGAACGUGAAAACAGUUGGAGAAAUCCCCUUGUGCAACAUCUCAUAAAAAAUAUUCGGUGCAACAGCCGAGCAAUCCCCAGCAACCAAAAUAUCCAGAACAACAUUAUAAGACCUAAAACUAUAUUCACAACUAAAAACAUCCCUCAUAUCAAAAAGUAACCGCGUCGAUUGACCAGGUAAACCAGCUCUACCAUAAUGCCUCAUUUUAGAAAUAAAAAGUGACUCCUGAAUAAAUACCCCUUCAUCUUUCAUUCGCAGCAACAAUCCAUCAAUCAACUUAAACUCCCCGGCCGCUCCAGGUUUAUUAAUCAAAGUACAAUACACAUUGAAUGUAUGAGUAUACCCCAUUUGAGUACCCGCCUUACAGAAAAAAUCCACAGAAGUAGGGACAUCAAGGGGGAGUUGAAGCAACUUAUUAAGCUGAUACGGUGUAAGUCGAUUAAGGGACUUUCGAAGCUGUUUAAUGUCACAUGGUUCAAGCAAACUUUCCCAAUCUGUUUCAGGGAAUGACCCAUUCUUAUAAUCAGAAUUACCAACAUUUCCAUCAUCCCCAAUUGAACUACAAUAUGUAAAGAUUGGAUUUUUAUACAAAGAUUGAACCUUUUUGACAAAAUGACACCCAAGAUUCUUUUUUGAGCAUAACUCUUAUUGGGCAAUUGUAAACAAGCAAAAGCUAAGCACACAACUGAUUGGCAUUACACAUACAUAAACUUUUCAGGGUUAUAAGCAACUGUGUGUAUACAUGUAUGUAUAUGUGCAUAUAGAGUUGCAAAAUAUAUGAGAAACAGAGCAGAAUAAAGAGCUCUAACCUGGGAACAAGUGUGUGUAUUUGCUGCAAAAAGCUUCUGCACUAAUUAUUCAGUGAGCAGCGGAUCGGGUCUAAAGUCAAAUUUUCAAAUCAAUUGGGUGUUUGUAUGUGCAUAUAAUUCAGCACACAAUAAAGCUGAUCAUGGCUUAUGGACCAGAAAGCUGCUUCUUUAGCUUUUUCAAAGUAAUUUUCUUUCAACAUUGCUACACACUAUGGUUUCAGCCGCAUUGCUUGUUAAUCAAUCUCGUCGAAUUGAUCUAUAUCAUCUACCCAUAAAGUUUCAUCAUCUAAUUGAAGCGCCCAAAAGUUUCCUCAUUUCUUUCUAUCAAUAUUCCCAUGUUAUAACUAGUACAUUAGCAAAGGUGUUCUUUUCUAAUAUCACGGAUAUUCAUAUGAAAGAGUACACAUGUAAAACAAAAAUACUAAACAAACUCAUGAACUAAAUAUUAAUGACCACAAAUAAUAAUCACACAAAAUACAAAUAAAAAAGCGGAAACCAAAGAAAUAUUCAGAAGAGAUGAUUCAAAACUUUCUAACAAUUACAAAACUAAUCUUUAAAAUUUGUGAGUCAUAAAGCCUGGAUGAUGACCUUGUGACAGAGAUAGCUAACCAUGCCUCUCAUCAUUCAUCUCAAUGACAAUGUUAUGCAAGAUGCGGCAAGCUGUGCUAAUACUUUGACGCUUCUCAGCUUUCAUUACAAGUGUAAGAACCUUCCAUUCUUCCUUUAGCCGCCUAUCCAUUGUCUCAGCAGUCAUUCUUUCCUCAGUAGCAGUGGCUGUCCCAUGGAGGUGGCGAAGGCCAUUUUCUACCAAGGCCUCCACAAAGGACCUUGUAACCUUAUCAGCAGUAAAAGAGUGCGUACCAAUUUCCUUACUGAUUGAGUUCAGUGACUUGCCAAAUUUUAGCCUUCUCAACGCUAUGGCUACUUUAUCAACCACAGUCAAUUCUCUGUUAUCGUUAAAUUUGUAUGUGUGUGAAUUGGACAUUGGCUCCAUCACAAGAGAGCACAAGUAUCUGAAGGUUCUCAUUGAGAUCCCGCAGUAUUCUUCGACUCUAGUCGAGUCUUCCGAGAGAGGAAAAUGUCCUGCAAAGAAGAGAAGAAAAUGCAUUUUUAUAAAUACGACUAAGACACUGCCAUAAUGUGUUUAUCAUGCUGAAAACUUGAACAUAUUAGAUUAAUGCAUAACACCAUACUAGUCCAUUCAUUUCAGUAUACAUACACAUAUCGACCUGUAAACUGUAUAAACAAAAUGAAGCUAGAAUGUCAAAAAUGAAGAUCAGUAAACUGCUGGUGAUUAACACACAGGGAUAUAUCACAUUCAGUAAGGUUCCAAUCUGCAAAGAAUGCUACAGCUUUCAUAUCAAAUCUGAAUCAAUAUGAACUGAUUAUAGGUGGAUACUUUUAGUAUUCAUAGCUAGUUACAAGCUCCUAGGAAAACAAACCCUUACAAGAACUAAGUACAUAACAACAUAUUCGAAAACAACAGAUUACAUAUUGUUCCAAAGACUAAGACAACUGGAAGCAGUUUGACCUUAAUUACUAGUUUGACCUUGUGGAACUGGAAAUAGAAAUAUUUUGAAUGUACUUACCUAAAAUCAAUCCCUUGCUACUUUGGAAAAAAAAGCUAGUCCUGAAUUCACUGGUGAUUUAUAAUUCACAUAACCAGAAGAUGAUUAUACUCAGUAUAAUUUCGAUUUACCUCAUAUUUUCUUCUAUGUAUGCCCCAAUGCCAAAAUCUGAAUUGCUUUCUUUCCCAUAUUACAGAGUAUAAACAAAGAAACUGAAAUAUCCACAAGAACUACAUACGAAUCACAUCAACUUCCUCAACUCCUUGCAAAUCUAAGGACUCUAAUCCCAUCAAAAAAAUUUAUAUGCACAUUACAUAACUCCCAGAAUUAAAAGUUAAAUGUUUAUCAUCUUCAUUGUACUAAGCGACAAUUAAAUUCUAGGUCAAAUAAGACUCCGAACCACAGAUUGAGGAUUUAUUCCUUCUCUAUCUAAAGUAAUUUUCAAUAAAUCAAAAGAAAAAUCAACUAGUCACAAAUUAAAAUUUCAUCAAACACAGAUGAACAAGCAAACAUAAAAUUACUUCAGAAAAAAAAAGGGUAGCACAUACCAAACUAUAAUGAAAUCGACAAGAACAGUUCAUCACCACUGAAUGAGAACAACUUAAAAUCCAUGAAAUUUUAAAGAUUUACAUACCAGCAAUCCUCUUCACGAAUUCGGC